This is a long non-coding RNA of Zalophus californianus (California sea lion), 2759 nucleotides long. RefSeq lists it as uncharacterized. The transcript has 5 exons. NCBI's taxonomy places the organism in Eukaryota, Metazoa, Chordata, Mammalia, Carnivora, Otariidae. The record is from RefSeq and is a predicted model, not a curated record.
UUAUAAAACCCCACCCAAAGCACACACAGAAAGCAUGGAAGUCAUUCCCGGAAUAUCAGCAGGCAACUGCAAUAGGAAAUUUGCAGGGUGUUUACUGGAAAAGGGUAAACUUCCUUAAGUUCCAGCACCCAUUGCAUCUGUAUGAAUGCGUAGGAACAUGGGAAUGGGGGCUGCGUAUUUCCCUCGGCUGGAUCUGGCUCAAGGACUAAAGAACCUUAGUCGAAAAGGAUUAAGAGCAAACACCAGCAUUGCAGGUCCGAAAUUGGAUUAGAACUACACCAUGGACUCCCCUGGGUCUCCAGCUUCCAGAUGACAGAUCUUGGGACUUGUCAGACUCCAUAAUCAUUGUGAUGCAGGGACCGGCAGCAUGAGCAUCAUCUGGUACUGGUUAGAACUGCAGACACUCAGGCCCCACUCCAGACCAGUGGAAUCAGAAUCUGCAUUUUUAACAAGAUUCCCAGGGGGAUCCGUCGAUCCCUGUGUUUGCACUCAACAAUCCUGUAAGACAGCACGAAUCACAAGGCUGAAAGCUCCCCGGAUACCACAAUCCAGCAGGAAGCGGCCCCCACCGGUGAUGGGUUGCCCAUUUCGGUGCCAUGUCACAUGGGGCUCUGGGUAACCCCGGACCUUUAAGGAAAAGAAGAAAAGGAGAAAAACUUGUUCAACCACUACCUAAUAAUACCUAAAGACAAUCAGCUUCAUGGAAACCCAUUUUUACUGUCUGCCCACUAUCCUGCACUCCUGGGUGGGGAAGAGAAAGAAGCCUGGGCUCACCUCCUUGGGAUGCAAGACAACAGCCCUGCCUUCCCUGGGUGCCUUAUCUGCCUUCAUCACAGGCCUUCGGCCAAGAAGCCACAGCUAGGAUUUUUACAGUCUGGUCCAAGGCCACACUAAAAACCCACUGAUAUUUUAGUUUUUAGAGGACCUUCACAUAUAGAAUCUUAUUUGAUUCUUGCAACCCUAUGAGGAAAGGGUCUUGGAUUGGGGUACCCAGAAGCAGAACCUGAAACAGGGAUUCAGGGAACCCCAUCUGUGAACCCUUAGCCAACACAGCGUCUGGGAAUGGGUAUACUGGCCUGGUGAAGGGGGUCUGGGUGGGGCUCCAACAGUGUCAGUGACGACACGCAAAGCCAAUCAUAUUACUGAACCCAGAGAGCUGAGGAAAGAGGCCCAAAGAAGUCUAUGAUUAGCCAGUCAAUGGCAGAUCAAGUGGAGAUUUGGGACCACAAUUUUGGUCUCCAAGUUGAGUGGUUGUCUCUCUAUUCCUCAUUGUAAAUUCAUGUUUUUGGUGAGACAAAUACUGUAGAACCUAAAGAACUGAUAAGUGUCUUUCCCUAAGAGACCCUAAAUCUCUUCUAGGUUAAAGCAAUGUCUGUUCUCCACUUUGAGAAAAACUCAAAGAGUUCAUAAAAGAUAUGGCCAUGCCAUACACAAGCCUUGGGUUGUUCCCCCAGAGUAACAAUACGGCAGGGCUAUAGACUAAAUAUUUGUGUCCUUCCAAAAUUCAUAAGUUGAAAUUUAACUCCCAAAUGUGAUGGUAUUAGGAGGUAUUAGGAUGGGGCCUUUGGGAGAUGAUUAGGUCAUGAAACUGGAGCCUUCAUGAAUGGGAUUAGUGCCCUCAUAAAAGGGACACUGAAGAGCUCCCUCACCCCUUCCCCCACGUGAGGACACAGCAACAAGACAGCUAUCUAUGAACCAAGAAGCAAGCCCUCACCAGAUACUGAAUCAAGCCACGCCUUGAUCUUGGACUUCCAGCCACUAGAACUGUGAGAAAUAAAUUUCUGUGGUUUAAGCCCCCCAGUCCACGGUAUUUCUGUUACAGCAACCUGAACAGUCUAAAAUAGACUGGAUUAGUGCCGUACAUGUGCCCAAGACACCCCUAGGAUGUUCAGUGUGAUAAGGGAGGGCAGCUUGAGAGCCGGGGCUGGAGUCCUGGGACUGGCAAGGCUUCCCAGCCCCUUCAAGAUUGUAAUUCUUUCUUUCAUUGAAGAGAAAACAGCUCCUGAUAGCUAAGGCCCCUUCCAUCAGGGGGCCUUGGGCAGUAUACUGAGGUAGUAUGCUUCUGAAUGGUGACCCACUUAGCUUCCCGAUUCUCCCUCCAGUCUCCUCUGGGUCCAGCCCACGACCUUCAUACUCUCUAAUCCUCCAUACAGGAAAACCAAGUGACCACGAGGAGACAUGCUCAUGGACACGAACAGGCAGCCUUGACUUUUCACCAUAAUGAGUUUUUGGAAACAGCCCCACAGAGGGUCAUUCUAAGGAGAAUCGUAUUUUUGCCACAGUAACCACAUUUAAUUGGAGGUUGUGUUCUUGAACAAAAGCCUGGGAUCAAAUAAAUCAAGAGCAUAACCAACAACUUGUCAUAAAAAUAAAGAUACAGUAACCAUAACCCCUAUAAUAAUUUAAAAUAGUAAAACUGUGUUCCAGCUCCAUAAAAUGUCCUCAAAAACCUUUACAUCCUCAAAAAGCCUUUAAAGGGAACGGGGGCUCAUUCUGCAUGUGUUGGAUGAUGAGGAGAAAGUGGGCAGCCUACUCAGCAGCAAUAUGAUACUACCUGUCAUAUUUGAGAGCCUUUUUCUCAGAAGCUGGUGCUGUUUUGACUGAAAGUGAGACAUUCUUAAAGGCACUAAGUCUCUUGGUUUUUCUCUGACAUGUGUGAAGGGCUUUCAGUCUAUUCCAAGGUGUCUGGGACAGGCUACCACAGCCUGAGCCCAGAGCAGUGACAGAUUCCCUAUCUCCACAGCCCUGGCAAAACUCAG